RNAcentral lists this transfer RNA (77 nucleotides) under Prevotella sp. RNAcentral's name for it is "tRNA-Asp". It matches the Rfam family "tRNA". Rfam says of the family: Transfer RNA (tRNA) molecules are approximately 80 nucleotides in length. The record is from RNAcentral. RNAcentral also lists the same sequence under 3 other names. Lineage: Bacteria; Pseudomonadati; Bacteroidota; Bacteroidia; Bacteroidales; Prevotellaceae.
GGCCCGCUAGCUCAGUUGGUUAGAGCGCAUGCCUGUCACGCAUGAGGUCGACAGUUCAAGUCUGUUGCGGGUCGCCA